AGUGAACGCUGGCGGUAGGCCUAACACAUGCAAGUCGAACGGCAGCACAGUAAUAGCUUGCUCUUACGGGUGGCGAGUGGCGGACGGGUGCGGAAUACAUCGGAAUCUACUUUUUCGUGGGGGAUAACGUAGGGAAACUUACGCUAAUACCGCAUACGACCUACGGGUGAAAGCAGGGGAUCUUCGGACCUUGCGCGAUUGAAUGAGCCGAUGUCGGAUUAGCUAGUUGGCGGGGUAAAGGCCCACCAAGGCGACGAUCCGUAGCUGGUCUGAGAGGAUGAUCAGCCACACUGGAACUGAGACACGGUCCAGACUCCUACGGGAGGCAGCAGUGGGGAAUAUUGGACAAUGGGCGAAAGCCUGAUCCAGCCAUACCGCGUGGGUGAAGAAGGCCUUCGGGUUGUAAAGCACUUUUGUUGGGAAAGAAAAGCAGCAGGUUAAUACCCCGCUGUUCUGACGGUACCCAAAGAAUAAGCACCGGCUAACUUCGUG
Molecule: ribosomal RNA, 492 nt
Filed under: uncultured bacterium
Lineage: Bacteria
Description: partial 16S ribosomal RNA
Rfam family: Bacterial small subunit ribosomal RNA
Source: RNAcentral